RNAcentral lists this ribosomal RNA (497 nucleotides) under uncultured bacterium. Its description in RNAcentral is "partial 16S ribosomal RNA". It matches the Rfam family "Bacterial small subunit ribosomal RNA", at positions 28 to 507 of the family's 1533-position model. The record is from RNAcentral.
GAUGAACGCUGGCGGCGUGCCUAAUACAUGCAAGUCGAGCGAACAGACGAGGAGUUUGCUCCUCUGACGUUAGCGGCGGACGGGUGAGUAACACGUGGAUAACCUACCUAUAAGACUGGGAUAACUUCGGGAAACCGGAGCUAAUACCGGAUAAUAUAUUGAACCGCAUGGUUCAAUAGUGAAAGACGGUUUUGCUGUCACUUAUAGAUGGAUCCGCGCCGCAUUAGCUAGUUGGUAAGGUAACGGCUUACCAAGGCGACGAUGCGUAGCCGACCUGAGAGGGUGAUCGGCCACACUGGAACUGAGACACGGUCCAGACUCCUACGGGAGGCAGCAGUGGGGAAUCUUCCGCAAUGGGCGAAAGCCUGACGGAGCAACGCCGCGUGAGUGAUGAAGGUCUUCGGAUCGUAAAGCUCUGUUAUUAGGGAAGAACAAAUGUGUAAGUAACUAUGCACGUCUUGACGGUACCUAAUCAGAAAGCCACGGCUAACUACGUG